GAGUUUGAUCCUGGCUCAGGACGAACGCUGGCGGCGUGCUUAACACAUGCAAGUCGAACGGAAAGGCCCCGCUCGCGGGGUACUCGAGUGGCGAACGGGUGAGUAACACGUGGGUGAUCUGCCCUGCACUUCGGGAUAAGCCUGGGAAACUGGGUCUAAUACCGGAUAUGACCUCCCUUUAGUGUGGGGGGUGGAAAGAUUUAUCGGUGCAGGAUGAGCCCGCGGCCUAUCAGCUUGUUGGUGGGGUAAUGGCCUACCAAGGCGUCGACGGGUAGCCGGCCUGAGAGGGUGGACGGCCACAUUGGGACUGAGAUACGGCCCAGACUCCUACGGGAGGCAGCAGUGGGGAAUAUUGCACAAUGGGCGGAAGCCUGAUGCAGCGACGCCGCGUGGGGGAUGACGGCCUUCGGGUUGUAAACCUCUUUCGACAGGGACGAAGUGAAAAUGACGGUACCUGUAUAAGAAGCACCGGCUAACUACGUGCCAGCAGCCGCGGUAAUACGUAGGGUGCGAGCGUUGUCCGGAAUUACUGGGCGUAAAGAGCUCGUAGGUGGUUUGUCACGUCGUCUGUGAAAUUCCGGGGCUUAACCUCGGGCGUGCAGGCGAUACGGGCAAUACUUGAGUGCUGUACGGGAGACUGGAAUUCCUGNUGUAGCGGUGAAAUGCGCAGAUAUCAGGAGGAACACCAAUGGCGAAGGCAGGUCUCUGGGCAGUUACUGACGCUGAGGAGCGAAAGCAUGGGUAGCGAACAGGAUUAGAUACCCUGGUAGUCCAUGCCGUAAACGGUGGGCGCUAGGUGUAGGGGACUUCCACGUUCUCUGUGCCGUAGCUAACGCAUUAAGCGCCCCGCCUGGGGAGUACGGCCGCAAGGCUAAAACUCAAAGGAAUUGACGGGGGCCCGCACAAGCGGCGGAGCAUGUGGAUUAAUUCGAUGCAACGCGAAGAACCUUACCUGGGCUUGACAUACACCGGACCGGCGUAGAGAUACGUCUUCCCUUGUGGCCGGUGUACAGGUGGUGCAUGGUUGUCGUCAGCUCGUGUCGUGAGAUGUUGGGUUAAGUCCCGCAACGAGCGCAACCCUUGUCUUAUGUUGCCAGCACGUGAUGGUGGGGACUCAUGAGAGACUGCCGGGGUCAACUCGGAGGAAGGUGGGGAUGACGUCAAAUCAUCAUGCCCCUUAUGUCAGGGCUUCACACAUGCUACAAUGGUCGGUACAGCAGGUCGCGAACUCGUGAGAGUAAGCCAAUCCUUCAAAGCCGGCCUCAGUUCGGAUUGGGGUCUGCAACUCGACCCCAUGAAGUCGGAGUCGCUAGUAAUCGCAGAUCAGCAACGCUGCGGUGAAUACGUUCC
Molecule: ribosomal RNA, 1350 nt
Filed under: uncultured bacterium
Lineage: Bacteria
Description: bacterial SSU rRNA
Rfam family: Bacterial small subunit ribosomal RNA
Source: RNAcentral